UGGGGAAUUUUGGACAAUGGGGGAAACCCUGAUCCAGCCAUCCCGCGUGUGCGAUGAAGGCCUUCGGGUUGUAAAGCACUUUUGGCAGGAAAGAAACGUCAUGGGUUAAUACCCCGUGAAACUGACGGUACCUGCAGAAUAAGCACCGGCUAACUACGUGCCAGCAGCCGCGGUAAUACGUAGGGUGCAAGCGUUAAUCGGAAUUACUGGGCGUAAAGCGUGCGCAGGCGGUUCGGAAAGAAAGAUGUGAAAUCCCAGAGCUCAACUUUGGAACUGCAUUUUUAACUACCGGGCUAGAGUGUGUCAGAGGGAGGUGAAAUUCCGCGUGUAGCAGUGAAAUGCGUAGAUAUGCGGAGGAACGCCGAUGGCGAAGGCAGCCUCCUGGGAUAACACUGACGCUCAUGCACGAAAGCGUGGGGAGCAAACAGG
RNAcentral lists this ribosomal RNA (429 nucleotides) under Acidobacteriota bacterium. Its description in RNAcentral is "Acidobacteria bacterium partial 16S ribosomal RNA". It matches the Rfam family "Bacterial small subunit ribosomal RNA", at positions 355 to 776 of the family's 1533-position model. The record is from RNAcentral. Lineage: Bacteria; Pseudomonadati; Acidobacteriota.